AACAACAGGGAUUGCCCUAGUAACGGCGAGUGAAGCGGCAAAAGCUCAAAUUUGAAAUCUGGCACCUUUGGUGUCCGAAUUGUAAUUUGGAGAGGCAACUUCGGGUAGGACCCAGUCUAUGUUCCUUGGAACAGGACGUCAUAGAGGGUGAGAAUCCCGUUCAUGACUGGAUGUUCCUACUAGUACGUAGUGCCUUCUACGAGUCGAGUUGUUUGGGAAUGCAGCUCAAAAUGGGUGGUAAAUUUCAUCUAAAGCUAAAUAUUGGCGAGAGACCGAUAGCGCACAAGUAGAGUGAUCGAAAGAUGAAAAGCACUUUGAAAAUAGAGUCAAAAAGUACGUGAAAUUGUUGAAAGGGAAGCGCUUGAGACCAGACUCAGCCUUUGGUAAACAAGUGUCCUUCUGGGCAUUGCACUUGCCUCGGGUUGGGCCAGUAUCAGUUAGGAUGGUAGGAGAAAGGCCAGGGGAAUGUGACUCCAUUUUGGAGUGUUAUAGAUCCUGGUGUCAUGCUACCUGUCCUGACUGUGGACCGCGCAUUAGCUAGGAUACUGGCGUAAUGGUCUUCAGCGACCCGUCUUGAAACACGGACCAAGGAGUCUAACAUCUAUGCGAGUGUUUGGGCUACACACCCUCACGCGUAAUGAAAGUAAACGGAGGUGGGAAUUCUGCAAGGAAUGCACCAUCGACCGAUCCUGAUGUCUUCGGAUGGAUUUGAGUAGGAGCAUAGCUGUUGGGACCCGAAAGAUGGUGAACUAUGCCUGAAUAGGGUGAAGCCAGAGGAAACUCUGGUGGAGGCUCGCAGCGGUUCUGACGUGCAAAUCGAUCGUCAAAUUUGGGUAUAGGGGCGAAAGACUAAUCGAACCAUCUAGUAGCUGGU
RNAcentral lists this ribosomal RNA (874 nucleotides) under Tuber melanosporum (Perigord truffle). RNAcentral describes it as "partial large subunit ribosomal RNA". It matches the Rfam family "Eukaryotic large subunit ribosomal RNA", at positions 64 to 955 of the family's 3401-position model. The record is from RNAcentral. Lineage: Eukaryota; Fungi; Ascomycota; Pezizomycetes; Pezizales; Tuberaceae.